AGCAUACUCCUUAGAUCCAUUCCUGAUACCCAAAGGAAUGACUGAGUCAUAAGUGUGCAAAAUUACAAUAUCUCCAAUGGGUAGCUGAUGAUUAAAACUCACUAUUAUAAUGUGAUUUUUAUAGCUAUUUUUUGGGGAACAA
Small nucleolar RNA from Anthonomus grandis grandis, 142 nucleotides. RefSeq annotates it as small nucleolar RNA SNORA53. NCBI's taxonomy places the organism in Eukaryota, Metazoa, Arthropoda, Insecta, Coleoptera, Curculionidae. The record is from RefSeq and is a predicted model, not a curated record. The transcript has a single exon.